AAAACAUCGCCUCCUGCAACAAAACUAAGUAUAAGAGGUCCAGCCUGCCCAGUGACCGCAAGUUCAACGGCCACGGUAUUUUAACCGUGCAAAGGUAGCGCAAUCACUUGUCUUUUAAAUAAAGACCUGUAUGAAUGGCUAAACGAGGGCUUAACUGUCUCCCAUUUCAAGUCAGUGAAAUUGAUCUAUCCGUGCAGAAGCGGGUAUAAUACUACAAGACGAGAAGACCCUUUGGAGCUUAAGGCGUAAGACUCAAUCACGUCAAACAACUCAAUAAAAAGCAAUUUUGAACUUUAUGAUAAAUGAGACCACUGCCUUCGGUUGGGGCGACCACGGAGAAAAAGAAAACCUCCAAGUGGAAUGGGGAAAUACCCUAAAACCAAGAGAAACAUCUCUAAGCUACAGAAUAUCUGACCAUAUAUGAUCCGGUUAACCAAGACCGAUCAACGAACCAAGUUACCCCAGGGAUAACAGCGCAAUCCUCUCCCAGAGUCCAUAUCGACGAGGGGGUUUACGACCUCGAUGUUGGAUCAGGACAUCCUAAUGGUGCAGCCGCUAUUAAGGGUUCGUUUGUUCAACGAUUAAAGUCCUACGUGA
This 597-nucleotide ribosomal RNA is filed under the name Enteromius taeniurus. RNAcentral's name for it is "partial 16S ribosomal RNA". It matches the Rfam family "Bacterial large subunit ribosomal RNA", at positions 1810 to 2603 of the family's 2925-position model. Lineage: Eukaryota; Metazoa; Chordata; Actinopteri; Cypriniformes; Cyprinidae. The record is from RNAcentral.